GGGGAUUUAGCUCAGCGGUAGAGCACUUGCCUAGCAAGCGCAAGGCCCUGGGUUCAAUCCCCAGCUCCG
This is a non-coding RNA of Rattus norvegicus (Norway rat), 69 nucleotides long. The record is from Rfam. NCBI's taxonomy places the organism in Eukaryota, Metazoa, Chordata, Mammalia, Rodentia, Muridae.